UACGUAGGGUGCAAGCGUUGUCCGGAAUUAUUGGGCGUAAAGAGCUCGUAGGCGGUCUGUCGCGUCUGCUGUGAAAACUCAGGGCUCAACCCUGAGCUUGCAGUGGGUACGGGCAGACUAGAGUGCGGUAGGGGAGACUGGAAUUCCUGGUGUAGCGGUGAAAUGCGCAGAUAUCAGGAGGAACACCGGUGGCGAAGGCGGGUCUCUGGGCCGUAACUGACGCUGAGGAGCGAAAGCAUGGGGAGCGAACAGG
Molecule: ribosomal RNA, 253 nt
Filed under: uncultured bacterium
Lineage: Bacteria
Description: partial 16S ribosomal RNA
Rfam family: Bacterial small subunit ribosomal RNA
Source: RNAcentral